AACAAAAACAAAAAUAGCAAAACGAAAACGUUGAUCCUUCGCAGAAGCGUAAACUGGCGAACGCUCCCCGUUGUAAGUAAAUGGACAGCGAGGAAGAUCAGUAUCGCCAACAGGGUUUUGUGUCAUUCUGGACGUACAUCAGGAUCACCGCUGUCUCGAGUCGCUGUCAACGAGACCUACCAAUUGCUCGGCUCAAUUCAGGGGGCUGAUUGCGAUGGAGCUCCGCAUUUGUUAAUUUGUGAAGACAAUGCCAGUACGAUAUCAGAUUGGUGAUCUGUGCCCGGCUAGAUCUCCUCCCGAGGACCUGUGCUCGUCGCUCCGCUUUAGCUUUUCUUAUAAGAUUGUUCUCGGACACUGAUCGUGAGGUUUACAGAUAAAAAGCCACCGGAGUCGAGAGAUUCGCUACGAGAAAGCAAGCUGGUUUCCAGUACCCCUCUCUCAAGAUCUCUUUUGGAAGGGACUGUGGAGAUAUAGCCGUCCAUAUUCCCAUGUUUCAAAGCUUUGGACGCUAGAAACACACACGACGGACAAACAAGCUGUGGCUUAAAAGGGUGGCCUUUUGCAUUUUGUACCACCCUCAGAGUAAUGGUGAACAUGUGCUCGCUGGCUUUCUAAA
Molecule: long non-coding RNA, 616 nt
Organism: Selaginella moellendorffii
Lineage: Eukaryota; Viridiplantae; Streptophyta; Lycopodiopsida; Selaginellales; Selaginellaceae
Exons: 3
Source: RefSeq, a predicted model, not a curated record